GUUUAUUUUCUUUACAACUUAAAAGAACAUUAACAUAUGGUUUUUUUACUGUUCAUUUAUUAUAGAAUGUAACAAGGCACGCAUAUGGUUACCAAUGGAUAGAAUCCUAUCUAAGCUCCUCAUCUGGCUUUGUUACUCAUUAGCCUUUUUCAUUCAUCUUCAUGCAUUGAGUUCUCACUGCAAAAUCUGACCACAAAACAUUUAUUUCAGUUGUCUCCUGUGCGAAUUGAGCAAGUUUAGCAUGGCAGAUUUGCCACGUUAUUUGAUAGCUUGCUUGCAAACUGGGAAACUGGCUAUGCUAGCAAUUCUGGUUUCAGGGGGAAUUGUGUUGCAGAUACUGGUCAGUUUUGCUCUGUUUAGUGAAUUUCCUUCACUUCAUUUAGUUGCAACUGUAUACUGUUAUCCUGUUAAAGUCAUUUUUCUGAUUAGUUCUUUUAUGAUUUUGCAGGCAUGUGCUUUGUACAACAAUUGGUGGCCAAUGUUAACAGGUAGUUUAUAUGCAGAUUUCUUUGGCUUUUCCAUUGUUUCAAGCAGAAAAUAUGGUUCAAUUGUUAAAAAAUAUUCCUAAAUUCAUCUGAAAGCAUUCAAGCACUACACUGAAUAUUAAAUUAUGGACAUUUCACCAAUAAGCCUAUUGCAAACUUAACCAGUUUCACCAAAAAUGUAAUCUAGGUUAGCAAGAAAAUGUGUAAAUAUAAGCGACAAUACAUAAAACAUUGGCAAAAUAGUGUUAUGUUUCAUUAAUUCAAUAUUUAUUGGGCUUUUAAAAGCAGAGCUUCAACCUUUAAAUGAUUUGAAAUUUGCAUGACAACGCUCUGGUUUUUUCUGAAACCACUUUAUAUCAAAAUGAUUAUAUAUGCAUUUACUUUGAACAUACUUUUGAAGAAUGUACUCUGGUUUGAAGGUCAAAUGCAACAAUAUGCAUUUUCUCUGAUACAUUAAUUUGCGGAUCUCAAUGAGGAGGUCUAAACGGAUCGAAAUGGUGCUCCAAGUUUCGGCCGAGAAAUGGUGAAAAUAUUGGGAUUUGUGUUUUGACAUGUUACUUUUUUCAUUUAAGAUCGUGUAACUACAUGUAAAACAUGUGACGCAGCGCGAAACAAGGAAUUCAAGCCAAAACCUUAAGAACAAGAAAUUUGGAACCCACCAAAUAAUAAAGAAAAUAAAUUUACUAAUUUUAUUAAUGAAAAAAAAAAGCCCUUAUUUAUAAGAGUUUAUAUGGAAACGUAGUUUAGAAUAACUAAAAGUAAUGAAAAAGAAGUUUAAACAAACUAAAAUUGCAAAAAAACCAAAAUAGACGAAUUGCAAAAGUAGCUCCAAAAUUUUAAAAAUCAGUUUUCAAGGCCUAAACGUACUUGAAUGGCCGAAAUUCGUCGUACAUCAUAGCAUAGCGGUGAGUAUUGUUCCUCUCGUCGUUCUUCUUCCAAAAUAGUCUUAUGGGCCUGAUCUGGAAUUAAGAUGAUGUUUUAUUUCUACUAGUGUUUCUUUCCCUAAUAUGACCAAUAUGUCCUACAUCAACAUGAAAUAAUUACCAAAACUCGAUUUAUUCCAUAACCUGUAUAUCUGUAACAUCAUGUUGAAAAGACCAUAAGAGUAAAAUAUUAAAUUGCAACAAACAAAAAUUUAAAUCCUAACUAUAAGUAACAUACUAAUAAAUGAACUUUUAAAGCUUCGUAAUCUGAUGUCUGGGCUCUGAUGGCAAUUAUCAACAUCCUGACUCAAGUGAUUAUGCAAAUGUAGAAAUUAGCUAAGUAUAGAUUAGCCUAUAAAUACACUCAGUAUGAAUCGUGCCAAUAAUUUUCAUAAUUUAAUAAUCCAACACAUCUGAAGUGAAAUGUUGAUGAAGAAACUGACCAUUUCAAUCUUAGAUAGGGCACCCCGCCUAAGUUUCAAUGUAGAUCUAUGUACCAAGUGGUUUUAGCCAUCAUAAUCAUCUCAAUCUCUGAAGAAUAUAUCAAAAUGAUUAUAUAUGCAUUUGUACAUAUUUUUAAUAAUUAAGUUGGUUGGCAAAAAUAGUACUCUGGUUUCUGAUAAUCAUAUUCUUGCAUUGUUCCUCUGCAGUAUUAAUGUAUGUUCUUCUACCUAUGCCUCUGAUUUUCUUUGCUGGGUAGCAAGUAGGUAAAGCUUUCUCCUUCAAAACUGAUCGUUUUAUUUUUUCUAGAAUCAUAAAAGUUAUGGCAUCAUUCUCAGUUUAAUGAAAAUUGUCUAUAUGACUAUAUAUAUAUGUAUUUCGACCUCAUACUUGCGUUUUUUACAAUCACACCAAGCAACAGUUGGGUUGAUGCGACAAAGUUCUUGACUGGAGCUUCAGCUGUUGGCAGUAUUGCUAUACCAAUUAUUUUAAAGCAUGCUGGCGUAAUUGGUUGGGGAGCCAUGGCAAUGGAACUCUCAUCGUUUUUCAUACUUGUCAUGGCCAUUUUGUGUUACCUUGGAACAAGCAAUGACGAUGGAUACAGUACAUUUUGAAGUACAAAACCUUUAUUUGGGAUAAGGAGGUUUCUUUUGCCAGCGAGUGUUGUUUGCUUGAGCAUGUGCUCCUGUGAUUGUGAUUUGUAUAUGCAUGUGUUUACAUUCAUAGAUUGUUCGUUAUCAAAAGAUGUUGAAGUGGUUAUCCACUAGAUAACAGCGAUGAAUGUACUUUGAUUGGAUACUCGAAAUUUGUUUAUAAAAUGAAGCCUUUUGACAUUACUUAUAGAAACU
RNAcentral lists this long non-coding RNA (2697 nucleotides) under Olea europaea subsp. europaea. Lineage: Eukaryota; Viridiplantae; Streptophyta; Magnoliopsida; Lamiales; Oleaceae. The record is from RNAcentral.